AUGUUCUGUUAUUGCUCUUAGCGGAUCUGAUGUAUCUAAUGGCAUAAUAUAUAAUUACGUGUUUUUGGAUAGUAAUCAUUAAACAGUCUAGCUUAUUUGGUAUUGACAAGUACAGGGAGCAAUUGAAGGUGAACAGUUCGAAUCCUAUAAUCGUCAUUUCUUUUUAAAAGAUAAAAACGACGGCGUUUAAAGGUGGCUAACGGAGAUGUUAACAGACGUUAGAUAAUCAGUUAACGACUGUUAACGGUUAGUUUUUUUGUCUGAUCAACGAAUGUUUAUAGUUUAAACGGUUGGUCAACGAUAUCUUCAUGUUUAAAAUGGCCGCAUGUAAAGUUGGGGUAUAAAAUAGCCACAAUUUAAAAGUUGGGCUAUUAAACGACAUUUUUCCCGAAAGAUUAUAUUAUCAGUUUCUCUUUUUUUUUUGUUAAAAAUAUUCUCAGUUUCUCACUAAGUGUUUAAAUAAGUUUUGAAAUAUUGGUAGAUAAUUUAUGAAAAUUUGAAAAUAUUAAUUAUCCAAACGAGUAAUUUGUGUACU
Molecule: small RNA, 535 nt
Filed under: Arabidopsis thaliana (thale cress)
Lineage: Eukaryota; Viridiplantae; Streptophyta; Magnoliopsida; Brassicales; Brassicaceae
Description: ATSL158700
Source: RNAcentral